Molecule: long non-coding RNA, 1419 nt
Organism: Dioscorea cayenensis subsp. rotundata (Guinea yam)
Lineage: Eukaryota; Viridiplantae; Streptophyta; Magnoliopsida; Dioscoreales; Dioscoreaceae
Exons: 3
Source: RefSeq, a predicted model, not a curated record
AAUCAAAAUGGGUUAAUUAGAUGGCUACACAAUCAUUAGUAUUAUGAUGUUCUUGGAUUUUUAUUUUAUUUUAUUUUAUUUUUAUAAGUAGAUAUGAGAGUGUGUUUUUUUAUGAAAGAAAUUAUCAACUUUACAAAUCACAAGAUGGGUUGGAUUGGUACACAAUUAUGGGCAGUAGAAUGUUUUUUAUUUUUUAUAUUUUUUUGAAGUAGUUGUGAAUGUGUAUCUCGGAUCCGGGCGGUGGAGGCGGGCCGAGAUCCUGCGAGGGAGAUCCGAUAACGAUCGUGAGUUGUAGACUGGGUCCGCCGAUGAGAACAUGAAUCGGAUCCGAGGAGAGAACCAGAGCUCCGACGACUCCUCGUCGGGAGGGCUACCGUCUUCUUCAUCGCCGGAUAUAAUAUUUAUUUAUUAUUAUUUAUACCUUUUUUGGAAUUGGCUUAAAAAAAGUAGUACAUACCAUUCAGAAUUUCAGAGUAAGAGUUGGUGAAAUGUAUAAUUUCAGCUUAAAACUUAUUAUUUUUGCACAGAAACUGUCUCCCCAAAGCUCAAAGCUGGUUUCCUUUGCAAGUGGGAGAAGCUGGUUUCCUUUGCAAGAAGAUCUGCAUUGUUUAAUUGUUGCUGUUGCUGUUGCUGUUGCUGUUAUCAUCAUCCAAGUCUUGAGUCUUACUUACUAGAAAAUGAUGCAAGGAAAGUAACUCAGAUAAGGGAAUGGACAACCAAUAAGUACGUUCUCAUCCUCAAAGCUGGUUUCCUUUGGUGCUCUCUCUCUCUCUCUCGGCAAGUUGACUGUUAGAGAUGGAGGAUUGGUUGGAAUGUCUUGAGGAGCGUAUGUCAGAGGUGGAGAAUCGAUUGGAAUGUUUUGCGGACAGAGUGGAACGGCUGGAAGGUGCCGUUAAAACACUCAUGGAUGAGGUGAGAUGCAGUAAUUGGGUCAAUCGAUGCAGGAAUUGGGUCCAUCAAGGCAGCGAGUCCGGCCCCGUUUAUGAGCUGGACGGCUCCACGUCAUCAAGGACAUCGAACGCACCAGGGUCAGGAGAGAGACUACCAAAAACAGAGGAGAACUAUGAGAGCCGACAAGUGGCGCAAGCGUUAUAACCGCGAGAGGACUCGUGGUGAGAAGGAGACUCGGGUGGAGGCCACCCAGUUCAUGGCAAGGCCCAACUCCUCCCACAUGUUGGCCAAGGAAAAGACGGUGGAUGCACUUGUCCCUGAUGGGAAGAAGAGUGAGCCAUCAAUUCAAGCCGCCACUCUCUAGCUGGGUUAGCCGUGGCCGAGCCACGGGAAGAAACAGGGUUUUUUUGAGAGUUUGUUUUGUUUCAAAAAGAAUGCAGGUGCAUUCUCUUUUGCUUUUGGUAAUAUAUUAUGUAUUUUGAACUAUGGGCAGACACCCCUUUCUUAUAUAUUAUUUUCUUUCUUAUA